Mauremys reevesii (Reeves's turtle) is the source of this 434-nucleotide long non-coding RNA. RefSeq lists it as uncharacterized. The record is from RefSeq and is a predicted model, not a curated record. The transcript has 3 exons. NCBI's taxonomy places the organism in Eukaryota, Metazoa, Chordata, Testudines, Geoemydidae.
CCAUUGCCUGGAGACAUAAUAUUCAGUUAUAAUGGGGGUGACUCCAAUUCCACACCGGGAACAACUCUGCACAACAGGAUACCUUAAGUAGCGCUUUCAAGUACAACAAAGAGGAAAGACACUGCUGAGUAUCAGAUUAAUUAUCGGCAACUGAUGGAAGAUCUCCGGGCAGAGGGGCGAACAGGACCGGAUGGUAAUUGUAUGUGUAACUUUUAUGACACUGGGAUGUACCUGCUGUGCACCUGUUUCUCGGAAACUGUGGUAGGAUACAAAUAUGGGAGAGACUACAAGAAACAGACCCAGGAAACAAAUGUUUUGGUAUCACUGUCUCAGAUUUUAAUAAAGGCAAAAUGAUAUCUUUGCACUUUGGUGCUGAUGUGGAGGGCUGAUAAUUGCCUGCUCAUUUAAUUGUUAUUCUCAUUUAUCUUUCUUUG